AGGUCAUUUCAAAGAGGACUGAUGGGACCAAAUCCAGGAGCUCUUUACGCUGUGACCAAAGAUUGAGUUCUCCACUGGGUAUAAUAGUAACUUGAUAGUGCUAUGUUUUCCGGAUGGAGAUACAAGC
Molecule: small nucleolar RNA, 127 nt
Organism: Balaenoptera musculus (blue whale)
Lineage: Eukaryota; Metazoa; Chordata; Mammalia; Artiodactyla; Balaenopteridae
Source: Ensembl